CAAUGGCACUGCCCGGUAGCUAAAUGCGGAAGAGAUAAGGGCUGAAAGCAUCUAAGCACGAAACUUGCCCCGAGAUGAGUUCUCCCUGACUCCUUGAGAGUCCUGAAGGAACGUUGAAGACGACGACGUUGAUAGGCCGGGUGUGUAAGCGCAGCGAUGCGUUGAGCUAACCGGUACUAAUGAACCGUGAGGCUUAACCUUACAACGCCGAAGGUGUUU
RNAcentral lists this ribosomal RNA (219 nucleotides) under Escherichia coli O145:NM str. 2010C-3507. Its description in RNAcentral is "partial 23S ribosomal RNA". It matches the Rfam family "Bacterial large subunit ribosomal RNA", at positions 2730 to 2925 of the family's 2925-position model. The record is from RNAcentral. Lineage: Bacteria; Pseudomonadati; Pseudomonadota; Gammaproteobacteria; Enterobacterales; Enterobacteriaceae.